This 533-nucleotide ribosomal RNA is filed under the name Salmonella enterica subsp. enterica serovar Stanley. RNAcentral's name for it is "bacterial SSU rRNA". It matches the Rfam family "Bacterial small subunit ribosomal RNA", at positions 989 to 1522 of the family's 1533-position model. Lineage: Bacteria; Pseudomonadati; Pseudomonadota; Gammaproteobacteria; Enterobacterales; Enterobacteriaceae. The record is from RNAcentral.
CACAGAACUUUCCAGAGAUGGAUUGGUGCCUUCGGGAACUGUGAGACAGGUGCUGCAUGGCUGUCGUCAGCUCGUGUUGUGAAAUGUUGGGUUAAGUCCCGCAACGAGCGCAACCCUUAUCCUUUGUUGCCAGCGGUCCGGCCGGGAACUCAAAGGAGACUGCCAGUGAUAAACUGGAGGAAGGUGGGGAUGACGUCAAGUCAUCAUGGCCCUUACGACCAGGGCUACACACGUGCUACAAUGGCGCAUACAAAGAGAAGCGACCUCGCGAGAGCAAGCGGACCUCAUAAAGUGCGUCGUAGUCCGGAUUGGAGUCUGCAACUCGACUCCAUGAAGUCGGAAUCGCUAGUAAUCGUGGAUCAGAAUGCCACGGUGAAUACGUUCCCGGGCCUUGUACACACCGCCCGUCACACCAUGGGAGUGGGUUGCAAAAGAAGUAGGUAGCUUAACCUUCGGGAGGGCGCUUACCACUUUGUGAUUCAUGACUGGGGUGAAGUCGUAACAAGGUAACCGUAGGGGAACCUGCGGUUGGA